UAGGGCUUGUGAUAUUCUUCUGGUGGAGGAGAAACACAGGAAGCAAGAACACCCGAAUGUACAGAGCCUUGGCCUUCUUUGAACAAGAGGAGAGAACUGUCCAACAAAGUCUGACAACUUCUGAUUUGCCAUCAUGGGUCAACUUCCCGGAUGUAGAAAGAGUAGAGUGGCUGAACAAGACUGUGAGACAGAUGUGGCCGUAUAUUUGCCAGUUCAUAGAGAAGCUGUUCCACGAGACUAUCGAACCGGCCGUGAAGG
Molecule: long non-coding RNA, 258 nt
Organism: Coregonus clupeaformis (lake whitefish)
Lineage: Eukaryota; Metazoa; Chordata; Actinopteri; Salmoniformes; Salmonidae
Exons: 3
Source: RefSeq, a predicted model, not a curated record